RNAcentral lists this ribosomal RNA (467 nucleotides) under uncultured bacterium. Its description in RNAcentral is "partial 16S ribosomal RNA". It matches the Rfam family "Bacterial small subunit ribosomal RNA", at positions 28 to 507 of the family's 1533-position model. The record is from RNAcentral.
GACGAACGCUGGCGGCGUGCUUAACACAUGCAAGUCGAACGGAAAGGCCUCUUUCGGGGGGUACUCGAGUGGCGAACGGGUGAGUAACACGUGAGUAACCUGCCCUUGACUUUGGGAUAACUUCAGGAAACUGGGGCUAAUACCGGAUAGGAGCUCCUGCUGCAGGGUGGGGGUUGGAAAGUUUCGGCGGUUGGGGAUGGACGUGCGGCUUAUCAGCUUGUUGGUGGGGUAGUGGCUUACCAAGGCUUUGACGGGUAGCCGGCCUGAGAGGGUGACCGGCCACAUUGGGACUGAGAUAAGGCCCAGACUCCUACGGGAGGAAGCAGUGGGGAAUAUUGCACAAUGGGUGGAAGCCUGAUGCAGCAACGCCGUGUGCGGGAGGACGGCCUUCGGGUUGUAAACCGCUUUCGCUCAUGACGAAGCUUUGUGUGACGGUAGUGGGUAAAGAAGCACCGGCUAACUACGUG